RNAcentral lists this ribosomal RNA (539 nucleotides) under Coniochaeta sp. RNAcentral's name for it is "LSU rRNA". It matches the Rfam family "Eukaryotic large subunit ribosomal RNA", at positions 76 to 642 of the family's 3401-position model. Lineage: Eukaryota; Fungi; Ascomycota; Sordariomycetes; Coniochaetales; Coniochaetaceae. The record is from RNAcentral.
UGCCCCAGUAACGGCGAGUGAAGCGGCAACAGCUCAAAUUUGAAAUCUGGCCUCGGCCCGAGUUGUAAUUUGUAGAGGAUGCUUUUGGCGAGGUGCCUUCUGAGUUCCCUGGAACGGGACGCCGUAGAGGGUGAGAGCCCCGUAUAGUCGGACACCUAGCCUCUGUAAAGCUCCUUCGACGAGUCGAGUAGUUUGGGAAUGCUGCUCAAAAUGGGAGGUAUAUCUCUUCUAAAGCUAAAUAUAGGCCAGAGACCGAUAGCGCACAAGUAGAGUGAUCGAAAGAUGAAAAGCACUUUGAAAAGAGGGUUAAAUAGCACGUGAAAUUGUUGAAAGGGAAGCGCUUGUGACCAGACUUGCGCCGGGCUGAUCAUCCAGUGGUCUCACUGGUGCACUCGACCCGGCUCAGGCCAGCGUCGGUUCUCGCGGGGGGAUAAAAGCUUCGGGAACGUGGCUCCUUCGGGAGUGUUAUAGCCCGUUGCUUAAUAUCCUCGCGGGGACCGAGGUUCGCGCUCUGCAAGGACGCUGGCAUAAUGGUCAUC